This 484-nucleotide ribosomal RNA is filed under the name uncultured bacterium. RNAcentral describes it as "partial 16S ribosomal RNA". It matches the Rfam family "Bacterial small subunit ribosomal RNA", at positions 30 to 507 of the family's 1533-position model. The record is from RNAcentral.
AUUGAACGCUGGCGGCAGGCCUAACACAUGCAAGUCGAGCGGAUGAAGGGAGCUUGCUCCUGGAUUCAGCGGCGGACGGGUGAGUAAUGCCUAGGAAUCUGCCUGGUAGUGGGGGAUAACGUCAGGAAACGGGCGCUAAUACCGCAUACGUCCUGAGGGAGAAAGUGGGGGAUCUUCGGACCUCACGCUAUCAGAUGAGCCUAGGUCGGAUUAGCUAGUUGGUGGGGUAAAGGCCUACCAAGGCGACGAUCCGUAACUGGUCUGAGAGGAUGAUCAGUCACACUGGAACUGAGACACGGUCCAGACUCCUACGGGAGGCAGCAGUGGGGAAUAUUGGACAAUGGGCGAAAGCCUGAUCCAGCCAUGCCGCGUGUGUGAAGAAGGUCUUCGGAUUGUAAAGCACUUUAAGUUGGGAGGAAGGGCAGUAAGUGAAUACCUUGCUGUUUUGACGUUACCAACAGAAUAAGCACCGGCUAACUUCGUG